This 253-nucleotide ribosomal RNA is filed under the name uncultured bacterium. RNAcentral's name for it is "partial 16S ribosomal RNA". It matches the Rfam family "Bacterial small subunit ribosomal RNA", at positions 524 to 776 of the family's 1533-position model. The record is from RNAcentral.
UACAGAGGGUGCGAGCGUUAAUCGGAAUUACUAGGCGUAAAGCGUGCGUAGACGGUUUCGUAAGUCGGGUGUGAAAUCCCCGGGCUCAACCUGGGAAUUGCAUUCGAAACUGCGAGGCUAGGGUACGGAAGAGGGAAGCGGAAUUUACGGUGUAGCGGUGAAAUGCGUAGAUAUCGUAAGGAAGACCAGUGGCGAAGGCGGGUCUCUGGACAGUUCCUGACGCUGAGGCACGAAGGCCAGGGGAGCAAACGGG